Molecule: ribosomal RNA, 497 nt
Filed under: uncultured bacterium
Lineage: Bacteria
Description: partial 16S ribosomal RNA
Rfam family: Bacterial small subunit ribosomal RNA
Source: RNAcentral
GACGAACGCUGGCGGCGUGCCUAAUACAUGCAAGUUGAGCGCUGAAGGUUGGUACUUGUACCGACUGGAUGAGCAGCGAACGGGUGAGUAACGCGUGGGGAAUCUGCCUUUGAGCGGGGGACAACAUUUGGAAACGAAUGCUAAUACCGCAUAAAAACUUUAAACACAAGUUUUAAGUUUGAAAGAUGCAAUUGCAUCACUCAAAGAUGAUCCCGCGUUGUAUUAGGUAGUUGGUGAGGUAAAGGCUCACCAAGGCGAUGAUACAUAGCCGACCUGAGAGGGUGAGCGGCCACAAUGGGACGGAGACACGGCCCAAACUCCUACGGGAGGCAGCAGUAGGGAAACUUCGGCAAUGGACGAAAGUCUGACCGAGAAACGCCGCGUGAGUGAAGAAGGUUGUCGGAUCGUAAAAAUCUGUUGGUAGAGAAGAACGUUGGUGAGAGUGGAAAGCUCAUCAAGUGACGGUAACUACACAGAAAGGGACGGCUAACUACGUG